UAGGGAAUCUUCGGCAAUGGACGAAAGUCUGACCGAGCAACGCCGCGUGAGUGAAGAAGGCUUUCGGAUCGUAAAACUCCGUUGUUAGAGAAGAACAAGGACGUUAGUAACUGAACGUCCCCUGACGGUAUCUAACCAGAAAGCCACGGCUAACUACGUGCCAGCAGCCGCGGUAAUACGUAGGUGGCAAGCGUUGUCCGGAUUUAUCGGGCGUAAAGCGAGCGCAGGCGGUUUCUUAAGUCUGGUGUGAAAGCCCCCGGCUCAACCGGGGAGGGUCAUUGGAAGCUGGGAGACUUGAGUGCAGAAGAGGAGAGUGGAAUUCCGUGUGUAGCAGAGAAAUGCGUAGGUAUAUGGAGGAACACCGGUGGCGAAGGCGGCUCGCUGGUCUGUAACUGACGCUGAGGCUCGAAAGCGUGGGGAGCAAACAGG
This 429-nucleotide ribosomal RNA is filed under the name Gemmatimonadota bacterium. RNAcentral describes it as "Gemmatimonadetes bacterium partial 16S ribosomal RNA". It matches the Rfam family "Bacterial small subunit ribosomal RNA", at positions 355 to 776 of the family's 1533-position model. The record is from RNAcentral. Lineage: Bacteria; Pseudomonadati; Gemmatimonadota.